GGGAUGUUGAAUAGGGGAAUCAAAAGUUCUUAUAUCAUGUGAUUGGGUUUUUGGCCUCUUCUCAAUCUUAAUUUCAUAAUGCUUUUCUGUUUAUAUGAUGUGGAGUAUAUCUAUUAGUGUAGACAACUUUAGAUAUUGUCAUUGGCCAUCAAGUAAAGGAAGUUGAAGCCACUUAUAAGAUGGAAAAGUAGUUAGAAAUUUUGAUUUCCUAUUAAUUGAGCUGGUUAAUUUGUUUCCUGAUAUUGAUGAUGGAAAUCAUAUUCAAUUUUAUCUCCCACUUGGUUCAUGAUAAAACUGAAUGAUUAUAUAUCGCAAGAAAUUAGUAUUGCAUUAGAUGUUAUACUUGUCAGCUUUAUUUUCUUAAUAAAAU
This 370-nucleotide unclassified non-coding RNA is filed under the name Hevea brasiliensis (rubber tree). Lineage: Eukaryota; Viridiplantae; Streptophyta; Magnoliopsida; Malpighiales; Euphorbiaceae. The record is from RNAcentral.